UGUUUUUUUUGUUUUUUGUUUUUGAGAAACCAAAUAUAGAAUACUAAUUGUAUAGUUUUUUGAUAACAAUUAAGUUGUUCCAUUUGGAUUAUAAAAAUAUAUAAUAGUACCUAUUUGGGCUCAUGUCAUAUGUUUUAUUAACAUGUACUUCCUGGUUUAUAUCAAAUUACAGAAUUUUAGAGUUUCAGAAUAAUUUGAAUUUAGAAAGCUAUUACUGUAGAUUAUGUGGGGGCAUUAAUGGAGGCUUGUAAUUGAAAUGCUGAAAAUGUAAAUUAAUUGGCUUGUAAAUGAGACAGGUAUAGCAAGUAAAUGAGGUCCUGAGGGUAUGUUUUUAUUCAGCUACUGAGUUGCAGGAUAAAGUCAAAAUAUUUACCGAGGUUAAUGGAAUAAUUAUAUAGGAUUUAUCAAUACUAUUAAAAUUACAUUUAAAAUAUAGAGCUAUAUUGCUUACCUUAAAUUAUAAAAUGAGCUUUCUCCAAAUUCAAAAUGCUUGUAAUUCAAACAGUCAUUUUUGGAUUACUGUAAAAAGGUAACUAACUGCCUUUUUACAAUUAGGAAUUUAUUUACAACUUUCUCUUCCAAUCCAUUUUCUAGUCUUUUAUACAAAAGACUCAUCUGCUUUCAAGGUUAGUUCAUUUAAGUCAUAAGGUAGAGAGAAGCAAGUACAGAAUGCAACACAGAACCACAGCCAUAAGGCAGAUUUCUCAAAUACUGUCCCUAAUGUUACCGGGAGUCCUUGCUUCCAGAACUCCCAAGAUGGUCGUGGGCCACUUCCAAGAUGGUGGCAAGAGUCGUAUUCUCUGACCUGGGGUUCUUGGUCUCAUGGAUUCCAAGGAAUGGAAUCUUGCGCCAUGUGGAGGAGCGUCAGAUAAUUAGGCAGCAGUCCAACAAUUAGGUUUUGUGGAACUUUUACUAUGUCAUCUAUUUAUUGGAAUUCCCUCUGGAUACCAGGACCCCCUCCAGCAGAGCUUAAAGUUA
Molecule: long non-coding RNA, 978 nt
Filed under: Pan troglodytes (chimpanzee)
Lineage: Eukaryota; Metazoa; Chordata; Mammalia; Primates; Hominidae
Description: lincRNA
Source: RNAcentral